RNAcentral lists this ribosomal RNA (253 nucleotides) under uncultured bacterium. RNAcentral describes it as "partial 16S ribosomal RNA". It matches the Rfam family "Bacterial small subunit ribosomal RNA", at positions 524 to 776 of the family's 1533-position model. The record is from RNAcentral.
UACGUAGGGUGCAAGCGUUAAUCGGAAUUACUGGGCGUAAAGCGUGCGCAGGCGGUUUUGUAAGUCUGUCGUGAAAUCCCCGGGCUCAACCUGGGAAUUGCGAUGGAGACUGCAAGGCUAGAAUCUGGCAGAGGGGGGUAGAAUUCCACGUGUAGCAGUGAAAUGCGUAGAGAUGUGGAGGAACACCGAUGGCGAAGGCAGCCCCCUGGGGCAAGAUUGACGCUCAUGCACGAAAGCGUGGGGAGCAAACAGG